This 239-nucleotide long non-coding RNA is filed under the name Lathyrus oleraceus (garden pea). RNAcentral describes it as "Pisum sativum (pea) long non-coding RNA (PSAT_LNC033774)". The record is from RNAcentral. Lineage: Eukaryota; Viridiplantae; Streptophyta; Magnoliopsida; Fabales; Fabaceae.
UUUUUAUAUACAUAUAUUUAGAUCUGCACAUUUUUUUUUCAUAACUAACUACCCUGAUUUUUCCUAAACCCUGACAAUUUCGCUACAAACUCUAAAUUUCAAACCUAAAACUUUAACCGUGUUAUUUCCUCUAAACCAUAAACUUUUUCUUAAACCUUAACAAACCUUAUUAUUAUUUCCUAUUUUCACUCUUAUUUAUGUUAUUCAUACACUGUAACUGCUUCGCCCUUGUAAUAUUU